This 497-nucleotide ribosomal RNA is filed under the name uncultured bacterium. RNAcentral describes it as "partial 16S ribosomal RNA". It matches the Rfam family "Bacterial small subunit ribosomal RNA", at positions 28 to 507 of the family's 1533-position model. The record is from RNAcentral.
GAUGAACGCUGGCGGCGUGCCUAAUACAUGCCAGUCGAGCGAACAGACGAGGAGCUUGCUCCUCUGACGUUAGCGGCGGACGGGUGAGUAACACGUGGAUAACCUACCUAUAAGACUGGGAUAACUUCGGGAAACCGGAGCUAAUACCGGAUAAUAUGUUGAACCGCAUGGUUCAAUAGUGAAAGACGGUUUUGCUGUCACUUAUAGAUGGAUCCGCGCCGCAUUAGCUAGUUGGUAAGGUAACGGCUUACCAAGGCAACGAUGCGUAGCCGACCUGAGAGGGUGAUCGGCCACACUGGAACUGAGACACGGUCCAGACUCCUACGGGAGGCAGCAGUAGGGAAUCUUCCGCAAUGGGCGAAAGCUUGACGGAGCAACGCCGCGUGAGUGAUGAAGGUCUUCGGAUCGUAAAACUCUGUUAUUAGGGAAGAACAAAUGUGUAAGUAACUAUGCACGUCUUGACGGUACCUAAUCAGAAAGCCACGGCUAACUACGUG